RNAcentral lists this ribosomal RNA (465 nucleotides) under uncultured bacterium. Its description in RNAcentral is "partial 16S ribosomal RNA". It matches the Rfam family "Bacterial small subunit ribosomal RNA", at positions 28 to 507 of the family's 1533-position model. The record is from RNAcentral.
GAUGAACGCUGGCGGCGUGCUUAACACAUGCAAGUCGAACGGAAAGGCUCCUGCUUGCAGGGGUACUCGAGUGGCGAACGGGUGAGUAACACGUGGGUGAUCUGCCCUGCACUUCGGGAUAAGCCGGGGAAACUGGGUCUAAUACCGGAUAGGACGAUGGGUUGGAUGCCAUUGUGGAAAGGUUUUCGGUGUGGGAUGAGCUCGCGGCCUAUCAGCUUGUUGGGGGGGUAAUGGCCUACCAAGGCGUCGACGGGUAGCCGGCCUGGGAGGGUGUACGGCCACAUUGGGACUGAGAUACGGCCCAGACUCCUACGGGAGGCAGCAGUGGGGAAUAUUGCACAAUGGGCGCAAGCCUGAUGCAGCGACGCCGCGUGGGGGAUGACGGCCUUCGGGUUGUAAACUCCUUUCGCUAGGGACGAAGCGCAAGUGACGGUACCUGGAGAAGAAGCACCGGCUAACUACGUG